GAAUCCAGCCGAUUUCAAACCUGGCUCAAGGGGAGGCUCCGAACUAGUCCUCUCCCGCACCCCGUCCAGAACUGUUGACGUAGGCCGAACUGGGUCUAUGUUUGAACUCCCAUGAGAUGCGAAGAAGAAAAAGUCGUCCGUCUCACUCUCCUCUUGAUUAUACGAUCUGUAAUUGAACAUCUGUUGAUCCUUUUUUGCAGUUGACUUGCAGGGAACAAAUUCAGAUAUUGAUUUCUUUGAAGCUCUGUAGCCCAGGAGUAUACUUACAGGUUUCUAUUGCCAUGCCUGAUUUAUCCUUAUGGAACUUAUGUUUGCUCUUUAUUUGGCCUUCAAUUGCUAUUUUGUAGAUACAACUAUGUAUGUUUCAUACAAGAUAGAGCAAGAAAUUGGGAUAAUAAAAUCACUCAGGAACUACAAAUUAGUACUAAAGGCUACUUUUUUAACAGCUUACAGCCUUAAAAUUAUAUAGAGACACUGUUGGGAAUUCCCUUGCCAGUGAGUCCACCCUUUCUAGAGUUAUCUGAGGUGUUAGGGAAAAGUAAGGUGUAAGGCACCUUUACAGGCCCAACUCUGUUCUUCCAUUUCUCGUCAUUGUUCAUAUCUAUAAUUUUCUUUUCAAUUUCUUUCAGCCUAUUUGCAAACGUUUCAAAUGCUGCUAGUGGUUCAGGAUCUGAAGUCCAGUUAGUAGCAUCUCUUUGUCCAAGGUAGACCUCAUCAGUUGAAUGCCUUGAUAAAAUCUCAAUGAGGGCUACACCAACCAGGGUUUGUAGUUGUGCUGUGAUUGUUUUCAGGAAGGCGAGGUUUGGGUUUCUCUCCAAUUCAGCAUACUCAGGGGUGCCAACCUCAGGCAUGAAACGACGACUUAGAGUUGGACGGUUAGGGAGGUAGCCAGCAUAAGGGUAUUGCCCAAAAUUGACAGCUGCAUGGAGGGCUGAAGCUAUCCAUAUGAUAAUAGUGCAUGUUUGUGUAAGAUCAGCUAGUGUCUGCAUCUCAGGCCACCAUGGUUCAUCUUUCUUGUCGCCAUGCCCCUCAUUGCGAAUCUCUGUCCACCAUGACUGCAGUUCAUUAUCGUUUUGAACAAUUUCAUUUUCUGGGUAGUAGAAAGCACAAUAUUCCUCAACCCAUGUAUUUAUUGCAGACCAGAUUUCUAAACCAUCAACAGCAUAAGGGUAAUCUUCUAUCAGAAGUCUGAGACCAUGCGGCUGCGUUGAAUCUGGAACUGCUACUCCUCUGAAAUGUAGCAAAACCAGUAUGAAGUUUUGUUUUUCUAAAGAUUAGAAGAUUAGAUGCAAGGCUAUUUUACAGUUUAAGGUUCUGCGUGUUACCUCUUGAGCAGAUCAGCAGGGAGUGCCUGCUCAGGGAAAACCCAGUUCUUGUAAACAACAGCAGAUAGUUCCAUGGAAUAUUUGGCAGGGAAGACAGUUUUCUCAAGUAUCCCUCCAGCAUUGAUCAGAAUAUGCCUAGCUAAGGCAUUUAUAUUCAUUGUAUCACGGAAGUGGGGAUGCAGAAGUUUAUAUAUUGGAUGAAGAACACUCAACUGUCUGUUUGUGGCAAUUACGAAUGGCUCUAUUACAGCAUGGGUGUUUAACCUGCAGACAAAGGCACAAGCUUUUAGGUAUGCAUUCUUAAUUAGAACACAGUUUUACCUUUUGCUUAUUGAAUCAUACCAAUGGCUAAUGAGCUGAUGGUAUCCAGAAUCAUUUACAGCAACAUAAGCUUUGGCCAGCUGCCACACUGAGCCCUCAACACCAUCUUCCGUUGGAGUGAAAACUUUGCUGACAGCACCACGACGUUCACCCUGUGGAUGUGGUAGACUUAAUUCGAUAGCCAAUGGCUUCAAUGUACCAUCAUUUUGCAGUAACAGGAUUGUUCUUGUAGCAUAAGUCUUUGUGGUUGUUGAGUUUAUUUUUGGGAUGUAUGGCAUCAGUGCAUCAUGAUGAUCUAAUAUAAAGAGUCUGUUGCUUCUGAUUGCCUAUGUAUGAAAUUAAAAAAAAAAAAAAAUCCAUUGUUUGGGAGUCAACUGCAGGUUUUCUUGUUGUAAGAUUGAUUUUCAAGCAUGAACAAAGACAUGAAAGAAAUGAAGAAUUUUUAGUACUUGAUCUA
Hevea brasiliensis (rubber tree) is the source of this 2103-nucleotide long non-coding RNA. RefSeq lists it as uncharacterized. The transcript has 2 exons. The record is from RefSeq and is a predicted model, not a curated record. Lineage: Eukaryota; Viridiplantae; Streptophyta; Magnoliopsida; Malpighiales; Euphorbiaceae.